This 1067-nucleotide long non-coding RNA is filed under the name Megachile rotundata (alfalfa leafcutting bee). Its description in RNAcentral is "uncharacterized LOC105662087, transcript variant X2". Lineage: Eukaryota; Metazoa; Arthropoda; Insecta; Hymenoptera; Megachilidae. The record is from RNAcentral.
CAAGCAGACUUUUCAAAUCCCCAAUUCCCAAAUACCUUAAUUUCCCAAAGUCCUUUCCAAUCCCCCAAGUACAUACAAUCACCGUAAAACCGUUAUCUCAUAAUUUUAGUCAUAUAAUCGAUAAUAAGCAAAGAUUACUAAAAUUAUUGGGUGCCUUUUCAAUACAGAUACGUCGUCUAACUGUAAGCUGCCGCAAUGCAAACAAGAAUAUAUAAUCACUGUUUUACUAUUACUUUAAGCAGUCAAGAAGCAGUUAGAGGUAUCUUAAAUCGCAUCUAGGGAGUUGACUUCUGUUCUCGUGGGGAAACCGGAAAUGCCUAGAGGCUGCGAAUCGAGCAGGUAGGACAGGAAGCAUCCUAAUCACCGGACGAACGAACUUUUCACUGAUUAAUGCUAUAAUCGUGCUAAUUAGCUCUGCGUCUAGUAAGAAAGCUCAACUAUAAAUAUAUGGGGAACCACAGCAGCAGAGAUCAACUAUACAACGAUCGUCUACACAAGAUUUUCCGAAAAGCGCGAACCGGAAAAUGGCUCGUAACCGCGAGUAACUUGGAGGUCGUGGAAGAGGAAGACGAAGAGAACGAAGAGGAACAGAAGAUCGGUGGUUAAGCCGCUUUUUGCUAAGUGGAUGAGAAGCCAGGAGAACCGACCCGGUGAACCGAGGUCCCCGAGAACAGAACGGUACCCUGUGCCCUCUUCCUCCUCCUCCUCUUCCUUCUUAUCCCUCCUCCUCACAGAGUUCCUUCUUCUCCCGUCAUGCAGGCUACCGAGGACGAGGAGUCCGGUAGUGCCUUCAGGCUCUUUUCCGUAAAUUCCUGCUUACGUGUUUUUGACGUACUAUACCAUACAUGCGUGCCACUUGCAUCGGUUACGUCUGCAUCUACCGUUCCUUUCGAGAAUUCGAACAUAACCGAGUCUCCAUUACCUUUACGAUGGGCUACCUAACCUUACUUGGUUACAUCUUUUAUUUUCUAAUUUGCUUCUGGGCUGAAAAUACUUGGGACUUGUGGUGAUUAAACGUAACUUGGAUAAAUAGCUUAUUUAUCAAAUUUAAAAAUUUAAAAUAGUAA